UACGUAGGGUGCAAGCGUUAAUCGGAAUUACUGGGCGUAAAGCGCACGUAGGUGGCGACGUAAGUCGGGUGUGAAAGCCCCGGGCUCAACCUGGGAAUUGCAUUCGAGACUGCAUUGCUGGAGUACGGAAGAGGAAGGCGGAAUUCCCGGUGUAGCGGUGAAAUGCGUAGAUAUCGGGAGGAACAUCAGUGGCGAAGGCGGCCUUCUGGUCCAGUACUGACACUCAAGUGCGAAAGCGUGGGGAGCAAACAGG
Molecule: ribosomal RNA, 253 nt
Filed under: uncultured bacterium
Lineage: Bacteria
Description: partial 16S ribosomal RNA
Rfam family: Bacterial small subunit ribosomal RNA
Source: RNAcentral